GCUAGUAGGCGUCGAGUGGCGGACGGGUGAGUAACGCGUAGGAAUCUGGCUGAUGGUGGGGGAUAGCCCGAAUAAAUUCGGAUUAAUACCGCAUAAUCUAUUCGUAGUAAAGUGAGGGACUUUCGAGCCUCACUCUAUCAGAUGAGCCUGCGUAAGAUUAGCUUGUUGGUAGGGUAAAAGCCUACCAAGGCAACUAUCUUUAGCUGGUCUGAGAGGAUGAUCAGCCACAUCGGGACUGACACACGGCCCGAACUCCUACGGGAGGCAGCAGUGGGGAAUAUUGGACAAUGGGGGCCACCCUGAUCCAGCAAUACCGCGUGUGUGAAGAAGGCCUGAGGGUUGUAAAGCACUUUCAAUUGUGAAAAAAAGUCAACGGUUAAUAACCGUUGACCUUGACGUUAACUUUAGAAGAAGCACCGGCUAACUCCGUGCCAGCAGCCGCGGUAAUACGGAGGGUGCAAGCGUUAAUCGGAAUUACUGGGCGUAAAGCGUGCGUA
Molecule: ribosomal RNA, 497 nt
Filed under: uncultured Gammaproteobacteria bacterium
Lineage: Bacteria; Pseudomonadati; Pseudomonadota; Gammaproteobacteria
Description: bacterial SSU rRNA
Rfam family: Bacterial small subunit ribosomal RNA
Source: RNAcentral